This 99-nucleotide transfer RNA is filed under the name Acidobacteriota bacterium. Its description in RNAcentral is "Acidobacteria bacterium (soil metagenome) tRNA-Sec". It matches the Rfam family "Selenocysteine transfer RNA". The record is from RNAcentral. Lineage: Bacteria; Pseudomonadati; Acidobacteriota. RNAcentral also lists the same sequence under 1 other name.
GGAGGCGCAUCUGUUCUGGUGAAUGGCGCGGUCUUCAAAACCGUCUGUGAGUUUGUGAGAACAAACUUGGGUAGGUUCGAUUCCUACACGCCUCCGCCA